UUGCGGUUAAAAAGCUCGUAGUUGGAUUUCUGUCGAAGACGGUCGGUCCGCUCUAUGAGCGUGUAUCUGAUUCGGCUUUGGCAUCCUCGUGGGGAACGUAACUGUGCUUGAUUGCAUGGUGCGGAAUUCACGACUUUUACUUUGAGGAAAUUAGAGUGUUCACGGCAGGCAAGCGCCUUGAAUACAUUAGCAUGGAAUAAUAAUAUAGGACUUUGGUUCUAUUUUGUUGGUUUCUAGGACUAAAGUAAUGAUUAGUAGGGAUAAUUGGGGGCAUUUGUAUUAACGCGUCAGAGGUGGAAUUCUUGGAUUGCGUUACGACAAACUACUGCGAAAGCAUUUGCCAAGGAUGUUUUCAUUGAUCAAGAACGAAAGUAUGGGGAUCGAAGAUGAUUAGAUACCGUCGUAGUCUAUACCAUAAACUAUGCCGACUAGAGAUUGGAGGUCGUUCUUUUUAUGACUCCUUCAGCACCUUAUGAGAAAUCAAAGUCUUUGGGUUCCGGGGGGGAGUAUGGUCGC
This 516-nucleotide ribosomal RNA is filed under the name uncultured marine eukaryote. RNAcentral describes it as "SSU rRNA". It matches the Rfam family "Eukaryotic small subunit ribosomal RNA", at positions 613 to 1132 of the family's 1831-position model. The record is from RNAcentral.